This 63-nucleotide transfer RNA is filed under the name human gut metagenome. It matches the Rfam family "tRNA", at positions 6 to 65 of the family's 71-position model. Rfam says of the family: Transfer RNA (tRNA) molecules are approximately 80 nucleotides in length. Their secondary structure includes four short double-helical elements and three loops (D, anti-codon, and T loops). Further hydrogen bonds mediate the characteristic L-shaped molecular structure. tRNAs have two regions of fundamental functional importance: the anti-codon, which is responsible for specific mRNA codon recognition, and the 3' end, to which the tRNAs corresponding amino acid is attached (by aminoacyl-tRNA synthetases). tRNAs cope with the degeneracy of the genetic code in two manners: having more than one tRNA (with a specific anti-codon) for a particular amino acid; and 'wobble' base-pairing, i.e. permitting non-standard base-pairing at the 3rd anti-codon position. The record is from RNAcentral.
UCUAGCUCAGUUGGUUAGAGCACUCGGCUCAUAACCGAAUGGUCGUAGGUUCGAGUCCUACGA